This 420-nucleotide ribosomal RNA is filed under the name uncultured bacterium. RNAcentral describes it as "bacterial SSU rRNA". It matches the Rfam family "Bacterial small subunit ribosomal RNA", at positions 357 to 774 of the family's 1533-position model. The record is from RNAcentral.
AGGAAUAUUGGUCAAUGGACGCAAGUCUGAACCAGCCAUGCCGCGUGGAGGAUGAAGGUCCUCUGGAUUGUAAACUUCUUUUAUCUGGGACGAAACACUUCUUUUCUAAGAGGCCUGACGGUACCAGAUGAAUAAGCACCGGCUAACUCCGUGCCAGCAGCCGCGGUAAUACGGAGGGUGCUAGCGUUAUCCGGAUUCACUGGGUUUAAAGGGUGCGUAGGUGGGUAUGUAAGUCAGUGGUGAAAUCCCCGAGCUUAACUUGGGAACUGCCAUUGAUACUAUAUAUCUUGAAUACCGUAGAGGUAAGCGGAAUAUGUCAUGUAGCGGUGAAAUGCUUAGAUAUGACAUGGAACACCAAUUGCGAAGGCAGCUUACUAUGCGGUGAUUGACACUGAGGCACGAAAGCGUGGGUAGCAAACA